AUGAUCCGACGAUGCUUUCCUGUAUCUUGUUAUCUCGGUUGAAGUCUCGUUGGAAAUUUUUGGGGGUGUUUCUGACGUAUUUGGUCAAUGAUGAUUCCUAUCUAAAUCAGAUGUUGAUCUGAGACUUUCAUCGCGACAUCUGGCUGUAUCUUCUUCACUCGAGCGUUUUGGGUUAUUGGGGGAUGUUUCUGACGUAUUUGGUCGAUGAUGAUUUCGAUCUAAAUCGGAUGUUGAUCUGAGACUUUCAGCGUGAUAUCUGGCUAUAUCUUCUUCACUCGAAUGUUUUGGAUUAUUUUUCCGACGUUCUCGAGUCGAUUCCGGUGAGGCUUCAGAUAUUUGGGUUUCUGUUGUUCGAAACUGCCAUUUUUCUGUUAAUCGAAGGCCGAUCUUCUCCGGUCGCGAAGAAGGAGGGUAAAUCUGUUCC
RNAcentral lists this long non-coding RNA (424 nucleotides) under Nicotiana benthamiana. RNAcentral's name for it is "long non-coding RNA (NBEN_LNC009197)". Lineage: Eukaryota; Viridiplantae; Streptophyta; Magnoliopsida; Solanales; Solanaceae. The record is from RNAcentral.